AAAAUUAACCUCUUUAAAAUUUAUGAUUACUACUCUUAAUAAUAUAUUCUUAAGAAUUGAACUUUCUUACUUUUUUUUCACAUCCCAAUUCCAUUUAAGUGAUUAUUGAAUCUAAUUAUAAUUCAAAAGUCCCUCCCGUUGAAUUUUAAUACUGUUAUCAUUAAUUUUAUUAUACAGACUAACGGUAAUAUUGUUGAACUUAAUGAUUUUAAAAUUAUACUUUCAAAAUCACAGUGACUAUUUAGUAUAUUUUUGAAAGUAUAAGGAUUGAAUAAUAAUUUUUCUAAAUAAGAAAGUAUAUAUAUAUUGUUUUGUCAUUCAUUUAACCUGACCCCAGACCAGGAAAAGGGAGAGAGGUGAUGUUUGAAACUUUGAGCUAAAAGGUAGUAAAGGACAGGCAGAAAUUAAUCACAAACUUAAAAGCCUACAGUAAUUUUGUUUGAAAAACCAAUGUAGUUUGUACAUGUUGGUUGGCUAGUUGGCCAAUUUUUUCUUUUUCUAUAACUAUACCUAUAUUAAUCUGUUGUAGAAAUUAAUUUAUAUUCGUAUUAAAUAACUUUAGUAAAAAUUAAAAUAUUUUAGCGAUUACUCGUUUCAUCUAUUAUGAGAGUUAAACUCUUAUCUCGUCUAAAUAUGUUAAACUACUCAAUUCAAUACUCAUUGAUUUUAACUAACGGUAUUUAUUAGAUUGCAUAAAGUAAGGACUAUAAAUCUUUAUCUAAUGUAUAGGGUCCAUCACCGACACUAAUAAACAGAAAAAAACUUCUAUCUUCUGAUAUCUGAACAAGCUUCCAAUCAUUCCAACCAAAAACAUGGGAAAGCUGAGUUGUUUUGGGAUACUUGUCUUUGCAUUUUUAGCUUAUAUAGCCUCAACUGAAGCUCAACUUCAAAUGGGUUUUUAUUCUCAAAGCUGCCCAAGAGCUGAGCAAAUUGUACAAGAUUUUGUUAACCAGCACAUCCAUAAUGCUCCAUCACUUGCAGCUACCAUCAUUAGAAUGCAUUUCCAUGAUUGCUUUGUCAGGGUAAAUUAAUCUCUCCAUUGCUUGUUUCCCUUUCUGUUUCUUGAUCCAAGUUAAUUAUAUUUUGGUUUAACUUUCAGGGUUGUGAUGGGUCUGUGCUUAUAAAUUCAACAUCAAACAAUCAAGCUGAAAAAGCUGCAAUUCCAAAUCUAACUCUAAGAGGCUUUGAUUUCAUUGAUAGAGUUAAGAGCUUGCUUGAAGAAGAGUGCCCUGGUGUAGUCUCCUGUGCAGAUGUUAUUGCUUUGGUUGCCAGGGACUCCAUUGUUGCUACUGUAAGAGAACUACUCAAAUCAGUUUCCAAAAUUAACUCCAACCUAUUAAAAAUUUUUGUUGAUUUUCUUGUUUUUGUUUCUGGGUUCCAACAGGGUGGUCCUUCCUGGAGAGUUCCAACGGGAAGAAGAGAUGGAACAAUCUCAAAUGCUUCAGAAGCCCUGGCAAGCAUCCCAGCUCCGACGAGCAACUUCACCAAUCUCCAGAGACUUUUUGGCAAUGUGGGCCUGGACUUGAAAGACUUGGUGUUGCUUUCAGGCGCACACACAAUCGGAGUAGCUCAUUGUCCAGCAUUUUCAAAUCGCCUGUACAAUUUCACAGGCGUAGGAGAUCAGGAUCCUGCUCUGGAUAGUGAAUAUGCAGCAAAUCUCAAGGCAAGGAAGUGCACAACUCCUAAUGAUAAUACCACAAUUGUUGAGAUGGAUCCUGGAAGUCGGAAAACUUUUGAUCUCAGUUAUUAUUCUAAUUUGAUCAAGAGAAGAGGACUUUUCCGAUCAGAUUCUGUCUUGACUACAAACUCUGAUACGUUGAGUAUAAUCAACCAGCUGCUCAGUGGUUCACUGCAGUAUUUCUUUGAUGAAUUUGCUGCUUCCAUGGAGAAAAUGGGUAGAAUCAAUGUCAAAACUGGCUCUGCUGGUGAGAUUAGGAAGCUGUGUUCAGUGGUGAACAGCUGAAUAAGGGAUUUAUUAUUAUUAUUAUUGUUUAUUAGUGUUCCUGGUUUGGUUGUUUUGGCUUUGAAUGAACUUUGUCUAAUCUCUUUAGAGAUUAGCAAAUGAUAAAGUUAUUUAUUUGAAUAUGUGGUUUUUAAGUUUGUUUUUAAUUAAUUAUGUGGCUAUUUUGAAAAAUUAAUUUUAUAAUUUGGGGAAGAACUUGUCUGCACCCGUUAUUAAUUCAAAUUAUCAAUUAAUUUUGGUUUGUUGCAAUAAUCUCAUCCUUAUUUUUAAAAUAUAUUUUAAUUAAAAUAAUAAUAUAGUUAUUUUUCUUUAGAUUAAUUUAGAAAGAUUUAGAAUUAUUUUUCUAUUAUAAAUGUGUUCUUAAUUUUAUGUUUAAUAAUUAUAGAAAUACAUUAUAAUAAGAGGAAAAUAAAGACAAUGAAAUGAAAUGGUGAAAAUAGAUAAUGAAAACAAGUAAAUAAAAUGAGAAACAAAUAAUUCGAAUGAAGGAAAACAGAGAAAAUGAAAAAAAUAAUAAUAAAAUGAAUUAAAAAAUUAGUGUUAACAAAUAUAUAAUGCAAUUUACUAAUGAAUUUCUCGUAGGAAAGCAUAAAAGUAUAAAAGUAGACAUUGUUAUAUUCAAAUGGGUUUAACCGCUUUAGAGAAAUAACUUGAUUCCUUUAUACUAAAAGAAGAAAUAAUCUUAAUUUUUAUAAAAUUAAAAAAAAUAUAUAUCAAUCAAAUAAAUAGAAUUUUAAUUUUUUUAAAAAAAAUUUAUAAUUUUUUAAUUAAAUUAUUCCCAUGUCAUAAUUCAAAAUUAAUUAUUGAAUUUUCGUAAUUGUUAUUUCAAAUUUAAAAUGGUUUUCAAGAUUGCCUCUUGUAACAAGCAAUUGCAAAUUUAUUAAAAAUAGAAACUUAUCUCUUUUUUAAAAUUUAACUAAAUACCAUUAUGGUGGAAUAUAGAUUUUCAUUAUUUUCUAUAUCUAGUAAAACCAUAGACUAAGUAUUAUAAUGGCGACAGGCAAUAGCAGGCCUUUGGCUCCCAAUAGGUUCCUUAUCUCCACAUAAUGUUGUGGAAGGAUACAAUCGCCUGACUAGACGAUCAUUUGGUCGACUAUUUGUUCAAUGAGACCUGAUCGAUUUAAUAAAUAACCGUGAUGAUUAGGUGGUCAAGCGAGAUGACAAGAUGAUCAUUUGAAAAGAAGGAUACUAUCUAGCUUAGAUGACACGACGAGAUGAGUGUAGACCUGAUGACUUGAGAUGAGGUGUGUAAACCUGAUGACCUGAAACAAAGUGUAAUCUGAGACAAGGUGUAGACCUGACGAUCUGGACGAGGUGUAAACCUAAAAGCCUGGACAACUUGGUGGACGACCAAACGAGGCAUAGACCUAACGACCUGAACGAGGUGUACACCUGACAACCUAGAUGACCUAGUGGACAACCAGAUGACCAGGCGAGAUGUAGGAGUGACUUAGUGACCGACCUAAUGUCACCUACUAAUGACGGACGAUAGGACGACUUAAUGAGUAAAUGGUCAGAUCAACAAUCAAAUGGUCGGACCACUUAGUGGAUAGUGCAUAGCCUGAUGAGCAAUGUAAUAACCUAAUUAAACUGGACCAUAUUAUUUUACGCUUAUAUUAUUUUUGUAAAAGGACAUAAUUUAGUUUAGCUUAGAUUCUCUAAAGAUUUUAUUCUUCUGAAUUCUUCUAGUUCAUGUUGUGCAUGUGGGUUAAAGCCUAUGGAUGAGUAUAAAUAGUCUUUCUUGUACAUAAUAAAAGAUACUCAAUAUACAAAAAAGUAUUAUUCAUUUUACUCUCUUUUAACAUGAUAUCAGAGCAUGCGAGUUUCUAGGGUUAGAAUUUGAUAAAGGUUGUGACCUUCCCUCCACUUAAUCCAUUUUGCUAGAAUGCAAGGAUAUGAAGGAAUGACAGAUCCAAUGCCCAUAGUAGAAACUAAAGCGUCUGAUUCAAGAAAGAAUAAAGAGCAUGCAGUGGACACGGUAAAUGGUGAUCCGUUCUGCCUACAAUCAUCGAACCAUCUAGAUAUGAUUUUGGUUUCAGCUUUACUAAUAAGGAGUAGAAAUUUUAAAUCUUGGAAUAGAGCUAUGAGAAUAGCACUAGGAGCCAAGCAGAAGUUAGGCUUUAUCGAUGACGUUGUUCUGAUGCCGAGUAAAGAUAAUGAAUUCUUUUAAAAAUGGAAAAGAUGUGACUAUAUGGUCACAUCUUGGAUUUUGAACUCAAUUUCGAAAGGUCUAGUAGAUGGUUUCAUAUAUAAAGCAUCUUUGAAAGAUUUAUGGUGUGAAAUUACAGAGAGAUUUGGAGAGAGUAAUGGCACCCAAAUAUAAGAAUUACAUAGACAAAUUUCUCUCAUCUCUAAAGAAAAUUCUCUUUUUUUUUUACUUCACCCGUCUAAAAAGACUGUGGGAUGAGUUAGAGUGUAUAGAAGUUUUACCUCCAUGUUCUUGUGGAGCGUGCAAAGCAAAAGAUGAUAUGAACAAUGGGAAUAGACUCAUGCAAUUCUUGAUAGGAUUAAAUGAGAAUUUUGAUUCUGUGAGAGACCAAGUUUUAGUUCUUGACCUCCUAUCGUCCAUAAACCGAACAUAUUCUAUGGCCCUAAAGUAUGAAUCUCAAAAAAAGAUUUUGAACAAAAGAAACCCUGAAUUCAAUGAAAUCUUGUUGUUGUUUAAUCAGUCACAAAAGGGAAAACAAAAAAGUAUGAUCCAAAAAAGGGGCACUGUAAUCAUUAUAAUAUGAAUGGUGGUCAUGUUAGGGAUAGUUGUUUCAAAACUAAUAGGAUAUCCUGACUGAUUCAAGAACAAAAACAAGAUUAGAGGUGUAAUACCCGGCUUGAGUCCGGCACUGGAAUUCCUGUAGACCGGUGGAAUCUCGAGUGUCGGAACCCUCGAGAAGGGUAAGACAUAUGUUUUCAUGUGUGUGUUUAAGGGUUUUGAAUGUUUUAAAGUGUUAAAGGAAAUGAGUUUUGAAAGAAAAGCAACAAAGGAGAAAUGCAAAGGUUCGGCCGCCGAAGGUCACUUUCGGCCGCCGAACAUUGCAUGGUUUCGGAUUCACGUUCGGCUGCCGAAGGUGGUCUGGCCAGCCACCUAUAAAAGGGCCAAGAGUCGGUGGAAGGAGGAUAUUUCUCCUCCACUUGCAGCCAGAGGUGAGGUCAAGCCUCUUCCACGUUGACUUUCAUGUUUUUCAUGUUUUUCACCAAAUCUUUCAAAGUUUUUAAGAGUUUUGGUGUGUUUUGAAGGUUUUGAGCAAAAAUAUCAAGUUUGGAAGUUUGGAGCUUUGGAAGAGGUUUUCUCCAUAUCUCCACGUUAGGAUCACUCAUCCUCAAGUUCUUAAGGAGGUAAGGAUCGAUCCUGAACUUCUUUGAUGAUUUUUGACGGUUUUAUGGGAGUUGGUUGGGUAGUAUGCAUGGUUAGGUUUAAGGGAGUUUUGUUGGUAGAUGUUUGUGUUCAAGCAUGUUAAGUAUUGUUUGAUGUGUUUGUUUGAGGUUGUAGGCUAGUUUUGGAUCUCUUUAUGCAUGUUAUAUGGUAUGUGCUAGUUGGGAGUAGUUGCUAUGCAUGUUUAGGUAAGGUUUGGGUGAGUUAUGCAUGAAACAGAGCAGGGUUCUGUCCACUGGACAAAGCCAGGUUCGGCCGCCGAAAGAAGGUUUGGCCGCCGAACCCCUUAUGGAGGCAGUUUCGGCUGCCAAAGCUUGCCCCUGAACAUUUGGACUUUCGUCUCUGGAGGCAAGGUUCGGCCGCCGAAAGUGCCGCCGAAGGUUGAGUUUCGUCUCUGGACGAGACUUUCGGCUGCCGAAGGUGUCGCCAAACAUGCAUGAGUUUCGUCUCUGGAGAGGGGUUUCGGCCGCCGAACAUGCCACCGAAAGUGCCCUGUCCAGCUUUCUUUUGCAUGUUUUAUGUGAUUGUUUUAGGAUCUGUUAGAGGGCUUUUGGGGAGUUUCUUAGAGCGGUUCUUGAGUUAGUUUGAUCCCUCAUUUGAGUCCACCUGUGUAGGAACGGACCAGAGAAAUCAGGGAAGUCAGCAAUGAGCACAGGUUCAGAACCUGCAGAGGUAGUCCAGAGUCAGCCAGAGGUGAGUGGAACUUCUCUUUUCAGAACUAAAUUGCUUUUAGCAUGCUUCAUGCAUCAUGAUGAUUAUGAAAUCCCAUACAUGAUCAUACAUUUUCGAUAAAAACAUAAAACUUUUCUGUACUCCAAGGCUUAACCUGUGCAUGCACUAUAUCUUCUAUAAUAAUCCCUACUCGAGCUCCUCAUGGCUCUAGGCGGAUAAAACUCAUAAUGUUAAGCCUGGUUUUCUCAUAAACAUACAAUGCAAAUAUGUAAAUAAUAAUUGAUCAUGUGGAUACACAAAGGGAUUACACCUCUUCUAAGUCAAGCACAAGUCUAUACAUUACACAAUACACUAUCUCUUUCCAACUACAUGUCCACACUAGCUAUUACAAAUCUCUUCUUCUUCCACACUCUGCUGGACUCCCCUCUGAACUCUGAACCUGCACAACUGGGGUUAGGGGAGAGGGAUGAGCUAUACAAGCCCAAUGAGUAGAACUAUAAAACAUGGUAUUAAAACAUGAUCUCAUGGAAUGCAUCACAUCACAGACAUUUCAUCUCAAGGAUAGACAUGACCACCAAAAUUCCCACUGGGAGGAUGCCUGGCCUAGCCAGGUCUUACAACCUCAAUUUGCCUGGCCCGGCCAGGUCUUAUAAACUCUGCUCGCCUGGCCCAGCCAGGUCUUACGAUAAUCUGCUGCCUGGCCUAGCCAGGUCUUACCUACAGAAGGCUGCCUGGCCCGGCCAGGUCUUACCCAGAGCUAGGGCUAUUGGGGUCGCCUUGGUCCAUCCAUCUCAUCAUAUACAUCGUAUUAUGCAAUGCAAUGCACCAUAUUCGUGAAACUAGUGCAAUCAACCUACUAUAAUCAUCAUGAUGCAUGAAGCAUGCUAAAAGCAGUUUAGUUCUGAAAAGAGAAGUUCCACUCACCUCUAGCUGACUCUGGACUACCUCUGCAGGUUCUGAACCUGUGCUCACUGCUGACUUCCCUGAUUCCUCUGGUCCGUUCCUACACAGGUGGACUCAAAUGAGGGACCAAACUAACUCAAGAACCGCUCUAAGAAACUCCCCAAAAGCCCUCUAACAUAUCCUAAAACAAUCACAUAAAACAUGCAAAAGAAAGCUGGACAGGGCAUUUUCGGCGGCAUGUUCGGCGGCCGAAACCCCUCUCCAGAGACGAAACUCAUGCAUGUUCGGCGGCACCUUCGGCAGCCGAAAGUCUCGUCCAGAAACGAAACUCAACCUUCGGCGGCACUUUCGGCGGCCGAACCUUGCCUCCAGAGACGAAAGUCCAAAUGUUCGAGGGCAAACUUUGGCAGCCGAAACUGCCUCCACAAGGGGUUCGGCAGCCGAACCUUCUUUCGGCGGCCGAACCGACCCUGCUCUGUUUCAUGCAUAACUCACCCAAACCUUACCUAAACAUGCAUAGCAACUACUCCCAACUAGCACAUACCAUAUAACAUGCAUAAAGAGAUCCAAAACUAGCCUACAACCUCAAACAAACACAUCAAACAAUACUUAACAUGCUUGAACACAAACAUCUACCAACAAAACUCCCUUAAACCUAACCAUGCAUACUACCCAACCAACUCCCAUAAAACCGUCAAAAAUCAUCAAAGAAGUUCAGGAUCGACCCUUACCUCCUUAAGAACUUGAGGAUGAGUGAUCCUAACGUGGAGAUAUGGAGAAAACCUCUUCCAAAGCUCUAAACUUCCAAACUUGCUAUUUUUGCUCAAAACCUUCAAAACACACCAAAACUCUUAAAAACUUUGAAAGAUUUGGUGAAAAACAUGAAAAACAUGAAAGUCAAUGUGGGAGAGGCUUGACCUCACCUCUGGCUGCAAGUGGAGGAGAAAUAUCCUCCUUCCACCGACCCUUGGCCCUUUUAUAGGUGGCUGGCCAGACCACCUUCGGCAGCCGAACGUGAAUCCGAAACCAUGCAAUGUUCGGCGGCCGAAAGUGACCUUCGGCGGCCGAACCUUUGCAUUUCUCCCUUGUUGCUUUUCUUUCAAAACUCAUUUCCUUUAACACUUUAAAACAUUCAAAACCCUUAAACACACACAUGAAAACAUAUGUCUUACCCUUCUCGAGGGUUCCGACACUCGAGAUUCCACCGGUCUACAGGAAUUCCGAUGCCGGACUCAAGCCGGGUAUUACAUUCUCCCCCCCUUAAGAACAUUCGUCCCCGAAUGUUCCUCAAACAACGAAACACAUAUACACAUAGAAAAGGGGAAAACUAGCUAACUAACCUCAAAACAGAUAUGGGUAUUGCUGGAGCAUGGACUCCCGUGUCUCCCAGGUGCACUCUUCUAGGUUGUGGUGGUUCCACAGGACUUUCACCAUUGGUAUCUCCUUGUUUCUCAGCUUUCGAAUCUGGGUGUCAAUGAUCCGCACUGGCUAUUCUACAUAUGUGAGAUCUCCAAGGAUCUCUACUUCAGGUUCACUGAGAACCUUCUCUGGAUCUGACACAAAUUUCCUCAACAUAGAAACAUGGAAUACCGGGUGAAUUCUUUCCAUCGAUGCAGGUAAAUCCAGCUUAUACGACACAUUCCUGAUCCGUUGUAAAAUCUCAAAAGGACCAAUGUACCGUGGAGCUAGUUUACCUUUCUGUCCAAAUCGAACCACUGAUACUACAUGUCCUAAAAAGGCAAUGCUCCUUAGCCAGAACUCGCACUUGGAGAACUUGGCAUACAAGCCAUGCUCUCUCAAGGUCUGGAGAACUAUUCUCAGAUGCUGGGCAUGUUCUUCUGCAUUCCUGGAGUACACCAAGAUAUCAUCUAUAAAGACGAUCACAAAAUGAUCCAGGUACUCCCUGAAUACCCUGUUCAUGAGAUCCAUGAAUGAUGCAGGGGCAUUAGUCAACCCAAACGGCAUUACUAGGAACUCAUAAUGCCCAUAUCUGGUCCUGAACGCAGUCUUGGAUACAUCUCUUUCCCUGAUCUUCAACUGAUGGUAUCAGGAUCUCAGAUCUAUCUUCGAAAAACAACAUGCUCCUGACAGCUGGUCGAAUAGAUCAUCGAUCCUGGGUAAAGGAUACUUGUUCUUGGUAGUGACUUUGUUCAACUGCCUGUAGUCGACACAAAGUCGAAGAGGUCCAUCCUUCUUCCUGAGAAAUAGUACUGGAGCACCCCAGGGUGAGGUACUCGGGCGGAUGAAACCCUUGUCUACCAAGUCCUGUAACUGCUCUUUCAACUCUCUCAGCUCUGCUGGUGCCAUCCUGUAGGGAGGUAUAGAGAUCGGUCUGGUACCAGGCAUCAAUUCGAUCUCGAACUCUAUUUCCCUAUUAGGUGGUAAUCCUGGAAGCUCUUCAGGAAACACAUCUGGAAACUCUCGAACCACUGGUACUGAGGACGGUUCCCUAAUAGUAGGUUGAUUGCACUAGUUUCACGAAUAUGGCGCAUUGCAUUGCAUAAUACGAUGUAUAUGAUGAGAUGGAUGGACCAAGGCGACCCCAAUAGCCCUAGCUCUGGGUAAGACCUGGCCGGGCCAGGCAGCCUUCUGUAGGUAAAACCUGGCUAGGCCAGGCAGCAGAUUAUCGUAAGACCUGGCUGGGCCAGGCGAGCAGAGUUUAUAAGACCUGGCCGGGCCAGGCAAAUUGAGGUUGUAAGACCUGGCUAGGCCAGGCAUCCUCCCAGUGGGAAUUUUGGUGGUCAUGUCUAUCCUUGAGAUGAAAUGUCUGUGAUGUGAUGCAUUCCAUGAGAUCAUGUUUUAAUACCAUGUUUUAUAGUUCUACUCAUUGGGCUUGUAUAGCUCAUCCCUCUCCCCUAACCCCAGUUGUGCAGAUUCAGAGUUCAGAGGGGAGUCCAGCAGAGUGUGGAAGAAGAAGAGAUUUGUAAUAGCUAGUGUGGACAUGUAGUUGGAAAGAGAUAGUGUAUUGUGUAAUGUAUAGACUUAUGCUUGACUUAGAAGAGGUGUAAUCCCUUUGUGUAUACACAUGAUCAAUUAUUAUUUACAUAUUUGCAUUGUAUGUUUAUGAGAAAACCAGGCUUAACAUUAUGAGUUUUAUCCGCCUAGAGCCAUGAGGAGCUCGAGUAGGGAUUAUUAUAGAAGAUAUAGUGCAUGCACAGGUUAAGCCUUGAGGUUCGGCGGCCGAACCUGGGUCUUCCUCCAAGAUUAUUUUCAUGCAAAAACUCAUUUCUUACUUGAGUAAAACCAUAAAAUACAUUAAAACAUUUUAUGAAAACAUGACUUUACCCUUCUAGAGGUUUCCGACAUCCGAGAUCCCACCGGACGGUAGGGAUUCCGAUACCGAAGUCUAGCCGGGUAUUACACAAAAGUUUAUGAUUCCCUGUCUACAAUUCUACACACUGUAUCUUCUCUUCAGGCCUUUAUAAAUACUAUGCAUGGUGUUUCUAAUAUGAGAAAAGAAAAGAUUAAUGAUAUAACAUGUAAAUCUGCUUGCAUGCUUAAUGUUUAGGAUGUUCAUGACAGGUUGGAAUAUAUUUCUACUGGCAAACUAAAAUAUAUUGAUGGAAUUAGGUAUAUGAUAGAAAUGAAAAUUUACAGUGUGAAAUAUAUCAUUUGGCUAAACAACUUAGGCUUCCUUUUCCUAUAAGUCAUAAUUUGAGUAUACAAUCUUUUGAUUUGUUGCAUGUGGAUAUAUGGGGGCUUAUAGAGAAGAGUCCUCAACUGGAGCUUGGUAUUUCUAAUUAUUGUUGAUGAUUACACUAGACUACUUGGACCUUUAUGAUACAAUUCAAAAGUCAAAGUGUGCAUUUUCUGUUCAGAUUUUUAAAAAUGAUUGAGAAUUAGUUUGAGGCUGAAACAAAAAUUAUAAAGACUAAUAAUGGGCAUGAGUUUUUAAGUAAAGAGUGUCAAAAUCUAUUUGAAAAUAGGGAUAUUAUUCACUAGAGGUCUUGCCCUUACACUCCACAACAAAAUAGAGUGCUGGAGAGGAAACAUAGACAUCUCCUAGACACUGCCAGGACCUUAAGGUUUCAAGGCAAUAUGCCAAAGAAAUUUUUGUCGAAAUGUAUUUUGACAGCCACCUAUCUCAUAAAUAAAAUUCCUAUUGCUAGUCUUAAAUGGCAAAGUCCUUAUGAGAGGUUGUUUAAAAAGAUUCCAAAUUAUAUACACCUCAGAAAAAUUUGGUUAUUCAUGUUUUGCUACUAGAGUCAGUCCUUAUAAGGAUACAUUUGAGCCAAUGUCUAUUAAAGCUAUUAUGAUAGGAUAUGGAGGGACACAUAAGGCUUACAAACUUUAUGAUUUACAGACAAAUAACAUUCUGGUUAGCAGGAAUGUAGUUUAUUGUGAAGAUAUUAUUCCUUAUGCACAUGCUAUAGAUUUAAAUUCAUCUCGUGUGGUUCCUAUCUCCAUUAUUGAGCCUGAUAUUGUAGAUAAAGGCCUUACACCUUCAAUUCCUCACUCUAUAUCUGACCAAGACAAUUCAGGUCACUCCAUGUUCAAUCAGUCCAACCAAGACAGUUUAGGUCACUUUAUGUCUGACCAGAUCAAUUCAGGUACAUCUCCUUCUCAUAUUGAGUUAAGAAGGUCCCCUAGAAUGGCUCGCAAGCUAACUUGAUUGCAAGACUUCGUUAGUUUUUCUUCUAGCUCAACCCAGCCUAUUUUCGAGGUAUGCUUUGAGUCACACCAUCAGUCCUUUGUCCAUAAUAUAGGGGUUGUUAAUGAACCCACUACAUAUGCACAAGCUUCUCUUGAUACUCAGUGGAUUGCUGCUAUACAACAAGAAUUGACGGCUUGACGACUUUUAAGAAGAAUCAUACCUGAGUUUUUACAGACUUACCUAACGUGAAAAAGGUCAUUUGAAAUAAAUGGGUUUACAAAGUAAAAUAUAAAUCUACUGGUGAAGUGGAGUGGCUUAAGACUCGUCUAGUAGCCAAGAGCUACAAUCAAAUUGAGGGUCUGGAAUUUAAGGACAGGUUCUCUCCUGUUGUAAAACUAACAACUGUUAGGAUCUUAAUUACUUUAGCCACUGCAAAAUAAUAAGUUGUUUAUCAGCUCGAUAUUAAUAAUGUUUUUCUCUAUCGCAGUUUAAAUGAGGAGAUUUACAUGUUACCUCCUCAAGGAUAUCAUAAGACUUUACCUGGCUAGGUUUGUUUGCUUAAGAAAUCUCUCUAUGGUUUAAACAGGCCUCUAGGCAGUGGAAUAUUGAGUUUACUAGCUUCCUCAAAUCUUUGGAGUUUAAACAGUCUUCCCAUGAUCAUUAUUUGUUUAUUAAGCAAUCAGGACACUCAUUUAUGGCACUCUUAAUAUAUGUUGAUGAUGUAAUUGUGACGAGCACUUCACUUGAGAUAUUACUAUUGUUAAAACUACUUUGCAUAAUAAAUUUACUAUCAAAGAUCUAGGUUAUCUUAAAUAUUUUCUUGGACUUGAAAUAGCUCGGUCUAAUCAGGCCAUUAUUCUUAGUUAAAUGAAAUUUAUUAAUGAUUUUAUUGACUGAUGUUUGUAUGUUAAAUUGUAAACCUGCUUUAUUUCCUCUACCUAAGGGUUUACCUCUGUCACUGGAUGUCGAUGAGCCUCUUGCUCAAUUGGAUUAUUAUAGAAGGCUUAUUGGAAGACUUUUAUAUGUCAAUCUCACUAGGUCGGACAUUAGCCAUGCUGUAACAUCUAAGCUAGUUUAUGGCUACUACUAAAAAACCUUAUUAGGAAGCAGCCGUGCAUGUUUUACGAUGUAAUACCCGGCUAAAUCCCGGCAUCGGAAUUCCUACCUUCCGGCGGAAUCUCCGUUGGAAUCCAGAAUUUCGGAUGUCGGAGCCUUCUAGAAGGGUAAAAUAAAGGUUUUCUAAAAUGUUUUUGUAUGUUUUUAUGGUUUUAAUGAAGAAAGAAAUUGAGUUUUGAAAGAAAAUACCAAGGAGGGAAAAGCUAGGUUCGGCCGCCGAACAUUGGGCUCUUGCGGAAGCACCUUUGGCCCCCGAAGGUGGUCUGGCCAGCCACCUAUAAAGGGCCCCUUGUCCAAAAAUAGGCGAGUUUUCUCUCUCUAUUUUUGGGCAUAGGUGAGAUUUCGCCCUCCUUUGGUUGAUUUUAUGUUUUCCUUCAAAUCCUUCAAGUUUUUUAUGAGUUUUUACCUUUGUUUGAAGUUUUUAAGCUAAGAUCAAAGUUUUGAAACUUGGAGACCCCCGGAGCUCGAUUUCUCCCAAUCUCCAAGUUUGGAUCACCUCUCCUCUCGAUCUUCAAGAGGUAAGCGUAGAUCCUCACCUUCUUUUAUGUUUUAAGUAAGUUUUGAGGGGUUUUAAGGGUAUUUAAUGCAUGUUUAGAGUAGAUGUAAAAUGUUAGGUUAUGUUAGUUUAAUGAGAAAUGUGAUGUUAAAUGUGAUGUUUAUUGGGGUAUAGGCUAGUUUUAUGCCCCUAUAUGCUUGAUGAUGUGUUUAUGCAUGCUUUUGAGUGUUGAGUAUGGGUUUGGAGGGUUUAGAGAGGCUAGAUGAGAGAGGCGAAUCGGGUUUUGCUAUUCUGGAGAACCCAGGUUCAGCUGCCGAAGCCAUGUUUGGCCGCCGAACCUGCCUGUGGAGGCAGCUUUAGGCCGCCUAAACUCGCCCCCGAAAGUUUGGACUUUCGGCUCUGGAGGGGAGUUUCGGCCGCCGAACCUGCCCCCGAAAGUGCUUGACUUUCGGAUCUGUAGGGACCUUCGGCCGCCGAACCUGCCGCUGAAAGUCGCCUGCCCAGCCUUCCUUUGCUUGUUUCUUAUGCAUGUUUUGAUGAUGUUUUAGGGGGUUUUUGGGGAGAUGUUUAGUGUUAUGUUAGAGUUUGUUUGGUCCCUCAUUUGAGUCCACCUGUGUAGGAUCGAACCCGAGGAACCGAGAAGGCCAACAGUGAGUUAGCUGUUCCAGUGUCAGCCAGAGGUGAGUAGAACUAAACUAAUCUUUUAUUUCAAGAAAUCAAAUGUUUUAAGCAUGUUCAUCCAUCAUGUAUAUGAAAUAGGUUGGAUGCAUUAGAUUUCACGAAUAUACCGCAUUGCAUAAUUGGUUGUUGAUGUGGAUGGACAACAGGACGACCCAUUAGCCCUCUAGAUGUUAUGUUAUGUAAUGAAAGACCAGUGCUGCCAUUCUAUGCCCCUGGCACACAGCUUAUGUAUGUAAAGAAGUCCUGAGGAGCUCCAUCGAGGGCCGGGCACAAAGUAGAGGGAUUUUUUAGUCAGUCCAUCCUUGAUGUGUAUUGUCUGUGCUGUGACGCAUUCCAUACAAGCAUAUGAUUAUUAAACUGUUUUAUGUUCUACUCACUGGGCUCUAGUAGCUCACCCCUUUCCCCUAACCCCCAGGUUUGCAGGAGCAGAGAUAGUGCGGGAAGUCGCCAAGGUUGAUGAUACAGUCUUUGUAAUAGAUUAGUAGUGGACAUGUAAUGUAUUGUGGAUAGUAUUGUGCUUGGCCCUAUUGGUAGAUGGUAAUCCCUUGGUACAUGAUCUUUAUGUAAAUGUUUUAAUUGAUGAGAUGUAUUGAAUCAAGCUUGAUGUAUGAGAUGUUGACCCUACUAGAGCAUUUGAUGAGGGCUCUAGUAUGGGGUUUUUAUGUUUACAGUUAUGAUGCAUGCACAGGUCAAACUUGGUAUAUGAAAAGUUUAAGUUUUUAUGAAAAUUUUAAGUUUUUAUGAAAAUGUAUGAUCAUGUAUGGGAUUUCAUCGGGUAUAUCAGGAUGUAUAUUAGGCUUGCUACGGGUUCCGACGACCUUAAGUCGAUUUGAAUCUUAACGCCAGUAAUGGUCCGGUUUUCGAGUUGUUACAUAUGAUAUCUAAAGGCUAUUGUUAAUAUUGGUCUUCAUUUUUAUAUCAUUAGUGAUUUUUGAAUUACUAUUUAUUGUGACACAGAUUGGACAUCUUGUUAUUUUUCUCGAAAUCUUUAAUUGGGUUUGGGAUCUUUCUUGGAUCUUUAAUGAUUUCUUAGAAAAUAAAAAAGCAAACUAUUGUUUCUAAGUCCUCUACUGAAGCAGAGCAUAGGGCCAUGGCUACAACAGUUUGUGAAUUGCUUUAUAUUAUAUCUGUUUUACGAGACUUGCAGGUUCUUAUUAAUUAUCCAGUUCAGCUUUAUUGUGACAACAAGGUGGCUAUACAAAUUGCAGCUAAUCCGAUUUUUCAUGAGAGGACAAAACAUAUUGAUAUUGACUGUCAUAUUAUGCGAGAACAACUUUAGAAAAGUUUUCUAAUUACUUCACAUGUGUCAAGUCAAGAUCAGAUAGCAAACCUAUUCACUAAGCCUUUAUCGGGUGCAUUACAUCAACAAUUUUGAUCCAAGUUGUCUCUGGUAUCUCUCCUUGCUCCAUCUUGUAAGAGGGGUAUAGAAGGAUACGAUCAUUGUAACGCCCCGGAAAUCCGGACCGCUACCGGCGCUAGGAUCCAGAUCGGCAUAAGGCCGCCGGGACCCGUAGCAAGCCUAACAUAUACCUGUAAACCUGCUUAAUCCCAUACAUGAUCAACCAUCAUACAUAAAAAUUAAAACUUUUCUUUUAUACAUGUAAUCAAUCACCAACUCAACCUGUGCAUACUCUGAACAUAUACAUAAAUAAAGUCCCUCUGUGGGAUCUCAUCAAAGCCUCGAAGGGCUAUACAUCAUGUGUUGAGUUAGUUUUGCAUAAACAUCAUAUCAUAAGAUCAUGUACAUAAAAAGGGAUUAGCAAUACACUAUAGUCAAGCACAAUUCUAACCUCAAAAUCUCAUUACAUAACAUACUGAAACUCUUACAUUUCAUCAUAAUACAACUGUCAUGUCCACAAUCUAACUAUUACAUACAUAUGACUUUUCUCUUCUUUUCUUCUCUAUCAAUCCCGUACCUGCAAACCUGGGGGUUAGGGGAGAGGGGUGAGCUAGAUGCCCAGUGAGUAGAACUAUAAAAAAAAAAAUAUUUAAAACAUGCUAUAAUGGAAUGCAUCAUUGCACAAACAUUUCACAUCAUGGACGGACCGACCCAAAAAUCCCUUAGCUCCAUGCCCGGCCCUAUUAUGGGCACCACAGGACUUCGUAUUGCCCGGCCCUAUUAUGGGCACCACAGGACUUCGUAUAUCGGAGCUAUUGCCCGGCCCUAUUAUGGGCACCACAGGACUUCGUACACAGGACUAGUGAGUCGUGCAAUGUCCCUCCUCAUCAACCACAAUAUAAUAAUGCAAUGUAGCAUAUUCGUGAUUCUAAUGCAAACAUCCUAUAUUAUAGUCAUGAUGCAUGAAACAUGAUAAAAUAUUCACUUUAUUAAUUUAAAAGGUUAAGUAUAGUUCCACUCACCUCUGGCUGACUCUGUCAAACUCUCAGCAGCUGGCUCACUGCUGGGGUCCUUGGUUCCUCGGGUCCGAACCUACACAGGUGGACUCCAAUGAGGGACCAAACACAUAUAAACAUAUCUCUAAUAUAUCCCCCAAAAACCCCCUAAAACAUCAUGAAAACAUCACAGAAAAUAUGCAUGAAAUGGCUGAACAGGACACCUUCGGCGGCACCUUCGGCGGCCGAAAGUCCUGGACAGAGACGAAACUCAGCUAGGUUCGGCGGCACCUUCGGCGGCCGAAAGUGCCAGACAGAGACGAAAGUCUCUUUUCGGGGGCACCUUCGGCAGCCGAAAGGCCUGCCUCCCCAGCCAUGUUCGGCGGCCGAAAGUACCUUCGGCUGCCGAACCUGGUUUCUGCCAAAGGGCAGAAACUUGGCUCCCUUUGCACAUUUCGCCUCCAAAUCUAUAAAUCAUGCAUAUUUUUCAACCAAAGCAUGCAUACAAGUUCCUAGGGGCCUCAAACAUGCAUAUACCCCAUCUACAACACUUCAUUCAUACACAAUCAAGCUACAUUGCUCAAGAUCUCAACAUAACCCAUAAACUCAACAUAUGUCCUAACAUGCAUUUCUACCCAUAGAUCUUACUUAAAACUUGUUUAAAACAUAAAAAGGGUUCAAGAUCGACCCUUACCUCUUGAAGAAACGAGAGGAAAGUGAUCCUAGCUUGGAGAUGGAGAGAUUAAGCUCUUUGAACCUCCAAGCACUCAAAACUUGCUCAAAACUUGCUCAAAGCUCACAAAUCUUCAAAACGAAGUUAUAAACUCGUUAAAACCAUGAAAGAUCUAAAGGAAACACUCAAGAUCGAGGGAGGAGCGGUGGAGACUCACCUUGGCCGACAAUGGGAGAGAAAAAGCUCGCCCGUGCGGACCUAGGGGACCCUUUUAUAGUGGCUGGCCAGGCCACGUUCGGGGGCCGAAUGUGCCUCCGCAUCCAUGCAAUGUUCGGCGGCCGAACAUAAGGUUCGGCGGCCGAACCUGCACUUCCCUCACUUAGACUUUCGGGGGCCUAACGUGCCUCCCAAAGUCCAUGCAUGUUCGGCGGCCGAAAGUGAGUUUCGGCGGCCGAACCUGGGUUUUCCCUUAAAGAAAUUUUCAUGCAAAAACUCAUUUAAAAUCAUACUUAAAACAUUAAAAACAUGAAAACAUUUUAUAAAAACAUGCUUUUACCCUUCUAGAGGUUUCCGACACCCAAAUUCCAUCGGACGAUGGGAAUUCCGGUACCGGAGUCUAGCCGGGUAUUACAAUCAUCUGACCAGACGACUGCCUGGCUGACCAUUUGUUCAGCAAGACGACCACCUGGCUGACCUAAUAGAUAACCAUGACGACCAGGUGGUCAAGCGAGAUGACAAGAUGACCAUCCGAAGAGAAGGAUAUGACUUGGCCCAGACAACCAAAUGAGAUGACUAGAUGAAAUGAUUUAGCAAAUGACUAGACGAGGUGUGUAGACUUGACGACCUGAGAUAAGGUGUGUAGACCUGACAACCUAUGACGUGGUGUAAAUCUGAGAUGAGGUGUAGACCUGACGACUUAGACGAAGUAUAGACCUGACGACUUGGACGACCUGGUGGAUAACCAGAUAAGGUGUAGACCUGACAACCUAGAUGAGGUGUACACCUGAAGACCUGGACGACCUAAUGGACGACCAAAUGACCAGGCGAGGUGCAGAGGUGACUUAGUGACCAACCUAAUAUCACCUACUAACGACCGGACGGUAGGAUGACUUGACGAGCAAAUGGUCGAACCACUAAGUGGAUAAUGUAUAGCCUAAUAACCGGUGUAACAAUCUGAUUAAACUGGACCACAUUAUUUUACACUUAUAUUAUUCUUGUAAAAGGACACAGUUUAGUUUAGUUUAGAUUUUUUAAAUAUUUUAUUUUUUUAAAUUCUUCUAGUCCGUGUUGUGCACGUAGAGUUAAAACCUAUAGAUGAGUAUAAAUAGCCCUUCUUAAACUGAGUAAUAAAUACAUCAAUAAAUAAAAAAAUAUUAUUCAUUUUUCUCUUUUUUUAACAGAUGAUUCCCCUUUGCUCUUCAUGAUAAAAUUGGGUAAGCUCACCUCCUGUUUGUGUUAAUGCAGCUUUGAAAGCUAUAUCUUACCUACUAAAAAAACAAAAAAUAAAUUAAUAGGCUAAAAUAUUAUAUGGAGAAUCUAUUGCUUAUAAUAAUGAAAGCAUGCAUAAAGGUUAAAAUAAGACAAUAAAAAUUGAAGUGUCACCAAACAUUUUUAAAUACACUUUAAAUGUCAAUUUAUUUGUAUAUUCUUUUUUCUAUAAUCGAUCUUGUUGCCCAUCAUUUGAAAUUGGCUCUCAAUAAUUUAUUUUGCAAAGUAUAAAUUAUAUCAUCCAUCUCUUAAUUUUUAUCUUACUGUUUUGCCGUUCCUUAACUCCUUUUAGUUACCAAAAAAUCACACAACAUGCCCGCAUUAAAUUUCUUCGGCCAUAAUCGAGUUAAUGCUUCGGCAUAAUCAUACGUAACUUGCUGACGUAUCAAUUAAAUUUGUUAAGAAAAUAAAACGAAAUGUCAACUUAUACUUUAUUAUAUUUAUAUGUUACACAACACUAUUUAGAAUAGAGUUAAAUAAUAAUGUUAGUAUCGGUACUUUGAGUAAUAAAUAAUAUGUUAUCUCGUUAAAAAAUAUUUUUUAUAAAAAAUAUUAUUUAAAUAUGAAUUAUUUUUUAUAAGUAAAUAUAGCUUUAAGCUCAAAUAAAUUGAGAGUAAUGGAAUAUAUAAAGAGAAAGAGGAAAAGUGUUUUUCAAUCUAAGGUUUUUUUUUAAAAUUUUAAUUGACAAGUCAGUAGGUAUAUAUUACACUGGAGUAUUGGUCCAAGAGAAAUUUUACCAUACACUUCGAAUGUAUACAUCCAUAUGAUACAAUUAUAAAUACGUAAUUUAAAAUUAAAAAAAAUAUAUACUUAUCUGAAAUAUAGUGAGACCCAUGUUAAUAUUUGAAAUUCUCACCUUCAAUUAAUUGGAUGUAGAAAUGAAUUUGUCGAUAGAAAUUUUCUUGGCGGAAUUCUGGCUGAACAGAUUUAAUCUGAGCAUAUUUUGAAGUUGAGUGGUUUUUUAUAACACAAUGAACUUGAAAGAUUGACAUGAAUCAGUUGAAGGGCGGAUGGUUUAAUUUACCUUUCUUGCAAGAAUGAUAAGUGCAACGCACAUUUUAAAUGGGUUUCUUGAAUUUUCGUUAAAUAUUGCAUGUUGGAAUUUUUUUUUUAACUUUUUUUAUAUUUAAGUGCAUAUUUUAAUGUUGCUUGAUGGAAUCCCCUUGAGUCAAAACUUUUUUAUAUUUAAGUGUAUAUUUUAAUGUUGCUUGAUGAAAUCACUUGAUUCUAGCCCUCCAAAUUUAAUAGUGAUAUAACAAAAUAAUAGGUUAAAGUAGACCCGGUAUUCGAAGAUAGGGUUAUAUGACAAUGGUAAAAUUUUGAUAAGGUGAUAUUCGUCUAAAAAAAAGAGAAAAAAAAACUCAAACGCUUUAAAUCUCAACUCUUUAUAAAGAUUCAUUCUCUCAACUACAGGCGAAAUUCUAUAGAAAAUUACCGCUCAUGGAUACAAUUGAUCUCCAUUAAAUCUCAUCAAUUAAUCGGUACCAAUUAGAUUUUCAAAAAAUAUGAUAAUUAAUUUCAUAUUACUGUAUAAAACUUAACGAUCUCAUAAAUCAAAAUACAUAUUCUUAUAAAAUUAUUCUUAAAUUUUAAUCAAUUUUUAUUUUCUUUAAUUUACUGAACGUCGGAGUGACUAUGACAUACGUCAACCAUGUCAUAUUCUCUUUCUUAUCACAAUGACCAAUUGCGGUAUAAUAUCAUUUUAGUCAAAUCAUAUAGGUAUUAUUCUUUAUCAAUUUAAGAUUGGAUUAUUAUUAAUUUCAUGUGAUUUAUAAAAAAUUAUUGUUUAAUUUAUAUUAUUUAGUCUUAUAAUUUGAAUAUUUAUAUUAUUUACUUUUCUAAUUAAUAUUACAACAAGCUCACUAAUAUUUUAUUUAAUAUAAAAAAGUAAAAAGUUUGAUUUUAUAAAAUGUUUGGUUUUUUUAAUUGAUAAUUAGAACGUAAAUUAAGUAAAUGGCCAUGAAAAAUAAAAUAAUGAAAAAAAAAAGGUACAAAAGGAAGGCUGAAACGCCGGUUGGAAGUAAAGAGACUGUCUCUACAAAGACUAGACGAAAAAGAAAAGCUGGAAGUAUUAAGGAAGCUGUGGAGAAGUUGUCAAAGAUGCAGUCCCCAUUCACAACUAUUUCCCAUUAAUUCAUUAAUAACAAUUUCACAUUGAAAAUGACCAAUAACCGAUAAUAAUUAAUUGAUGGGAAAGUUACUGUAGUUGUUUGAAUUUUUUGAAAAUUAAUCGGUUCAUUUCUAUUUAAAAUUACUUCCUUCGUUUAUUUUAUACAAAAUAUUUUUUAAAAAAAUAAUUUUUAUUUUUUAAUAUUUAAAAAAUUUAAUUAAUAAAAAAUAUUUAUAAUCAAACAAAAAAAUAAACUAGAAAAUGACUCUUUCUUCGCUUUAAAAUUCUUAUUAAGACUUUAUAUAUAAAUUUAUUAAUAUAUUUUAUUUUUUAAAUUAAAAUUAAAUAGUAAAAAAUUAAUUAUUUUAUUAAAAAAUAUUUUCUGCAAAAAAUAUUUUUUAAAUAUAAAUUUUUUUCUACAAAUAAAAUGGAGUCUGAAUAUUAAAAUUAAAUGUGUAAUGUUUUGUAAAAUUAAGCUUUUUAGCUAAUUUAUUUUAAUUAAAGAAAUUAAAUAGUAUAAAUAUUUUAAAUUAUAAAAAUUAAAUUAAUAUUUAUAAUUAAAAUUAUAAAAAAUAUAAAUAAUUUAAGAUAGUUAACUAUUUUCUUAAUAUGAUAGUGAAAGAAUUAGAUUCUAUAAAAUAUAAAAGUGUUUUAAUUGAAUAAUUUCAAAAUAAAAAAAAAAACUAAUUAAUUUUUCAAAAAUUCAAAAGUUUUAAUAAUAAUUGACCCUUAAUUAGUUAACACUAAUUGCUAACAUUCUCUUCUAACCAGCCGAAUUGUGACGGUUUCUGACUGGCCUAAACUAGAGAAGGCUGGCAGUAGUCCCCGUCCUCCUCCAUUUGCUUUUUUAAUUUAGUUUUUUAGAAAUAAAGAAUAAUCUCUUAAUUUCAAAAAAAAAAAAAAAUCUCUUAUAUGCUUGAAAUUUUAAUGAAUUUGAUUUUCUUUUGCUUUUUCAUGGAGAUUUUGACCAAAUGUUGUUUCGUUGGGUGUCCUUUUAUUAGAAUUUCUUAGGGAUGAAUUAUUUUCGAUGGGAGGUUAAAAAUAUUAAAUUUUAUUUUUUGAUUUAAAUUUAUUAUUUUAAUUAUUAUUAUUAAAAUAUUAAUUAAAUAUAAAUAAUUGAAAAUAAGAACAAAUAAAUUAAAGUAUAUCUCACACUCUAAAAUUUUAAUAAAAUGAUGAUCUUAUUAAUUAAUUUAAUGAUAUUUUAUUUAAAUAAAAAAAAUAAAAUUUAAUUUUUUUAUUAUAUUAUUCAGAAACAAAUUUAUUUUAAUUUUUUUUAUCAAGACUACAUCAUUUUUAUGCCCGACUAUAGAAAGAAAAUUCGUCUUUUAUUUAUUUUUAUUCUUAUUAAUCUGAUUUUUCUUUUAAAUGUUAAUUUUGGUCUUUCACAUCUUCAAAAAAGAAUCUAUCGUCUCAAGGAGAUCUCCACGCCUACUCCUUUUUUCUUCUUCGUUAUAAAUUUGCCUUCCUCCUACUCCAUAUUUUCUCCAUCCAUUUAAGUCAGAUUUAUACCUUAAUCACCUAGCUCUUCUCCAGCUCUUCGUCACAUCGGUUCCUCUGUAUGCAUAGAGUGUUGGGUUGUUUCUCAAGUGAGCUAUGGUCUUGGGAAAGGAACAUCGCUGGAAAGCAGUUGGUAAUUGGGAUUGUCGACCAUCAGACCUUUAUUUGCACAUCACUUUUAAAUCAUUUGAAUUCGUUUUAAAUUAAACUAUUAUUAUAAAAAAUCCAAACAUUUUAAUUUUAUAAUUGUUAGUUUAAUAAUCUAUAUAACUUAUAAUUUACAAGAAUAAUUUAUAUUUAAAUUUCUAAUAAUAAAAUAAAAAAAUACUUAAAUUUAUUUAUUUAAAAAUAUAUAAUAUAUAUUUAAUUAAUUAUUAUAUAACCUAAAAAAUUUAAAUUUAAUUUAAAUUUAAUAUGAUUAUUAUUUUUAAUAUUCAAACUUAUUUCAAAUCUGAUCAUAUCCUAUCCAUUAUUCAAUUUUAAAACCUAUGGACUCAAGCCGAUUCUAAAUUUGGUUCCCAAUUCGGCCCAUUGCUAGGCUGGACCAAUUCAAAGCUCAUUGCAAAAGAUGCGGCGUAAUACGACACCGUAUAAUUUAAGGUUGGCUACUUCUCAACGCAAAACCCUAAUUACUAUACCUCUAUCCUCUAUAUAUACACCUCCGAAGCCCUUUCUCCUUCGUAUACUCUUUACUUUCUCUUCAGUUCUUAGAUUUCCUAGACCAAAAUUAACUUUCUUUUUCUUUCAUUUCAAUUUUGUGUUGAAGAAGGGUGCAGUGAUGAAUCAUUUAUACUGUGGACUAGAGUUUCUGAUCUGGGAAUCUCUCCCAGAAGUUGAAGACUAACCCUUGGCUGUCUGAGUACUCUUCUUCAUCCUGUUUAUCCUCUUUUUUUUUUUUGUUUCUCGUGUUUUUGGUCGAUCUUUUAAAGGGGCUUAUGAUGAUAAUAUAAAUUAUCUUAGCGGAUUUCAGUGAGAUAAAUAUAUAAUUUAUCAAUGAUCUGAUUGUUACACACACUGAGGCCUACUCAUGAGAUUAUUGAUUAUUUGUCUGAUAUAGAUUUAGGGAUUUGAAUGCUCUGAUGAGGUUAAACACUGAUGUGUUUUGAAGGACAGUGGACGAGUCCCCGUUUUCGGACUGGCGGUUGAGCCAAUCUCAUUUAACGACUUAUCCUUCCAAAUCUCAAAUGAUUUUAAAAUUUUCAUAUACUACUGGGUGAAUAUUUUGAACUUGAUACAUCCUACGGCUAGCAUAUUCGCCCUUCUACGUGCUUUCUUAGAUGUAUAAAUUGUCGACUGGAGAAUUCUUCAGCUUACAGCAUCCUUCUUCGCUGCGACACGGUCUCCCCCUAAUAAAACCUAGAGUUUGUAAGUCUACCUAUUGGACAUCCCAGAGUGUGUAACUAUCAUUGAAGGAGGUUCUUCGUAUUUCAGUGUGAUUUUUCGAAAGCAAUAACUUUCGGAUUCGUUGAUACUUGUUAUCUUAUUUUCUCCUUCUGAAUAAUUAAAAAAUGUGAAAAAGGUUUAAAUUAAAUUUAGCAUAUCUUUUUUUUUUUAAUUUUAUUAACACAUAUUAG
Molecule: long non-coding RNA, 23471 nt
Filed under: Manihot esculenta (cassava)
Lineage: Eukaryota; Viridiplantae; Streptophyta; Magnoliopsida; Malpighiales; Euphorbiaceae
Description: long non-coding RNA (MESC_LNC007780)
Rfam family: Small nucleolar RNA Z157/R69/R10 (bases 22664-22764)
Source: RNAcentral